RNAcentral lists this ribosomal RNA (764 nucleotides) under uncultured Streptococcus sp. RNAcentral's name for it is "bacterial SSU rRNA". It matches the Rfam family "Bacterial small subunit ribosomal RNA", at positions 28 to 776 of the family's 1533-position model. Lineage: Bacteria; Bacillati; Bacillota; Bacilli; Lactobacillales; Streptococcaceae. The record is from RNAcentral.
GACGAACGCUGGCGGCGUGCCUAAUACAUGCAAGUAGAACGCUGAAGGAGGAGCUUGCUUCUCUGGAUGAGUUGCGAACGGGUGAGUAACGCGUAGGUAACCUGCCUGGUAGCGGGGGAUAACUAUUGGAAACGAUAGCUAAUACCGCAUAAGAGUAGAUGUUGCAUGACAUUUGCUUAAAAGGUGCAAUUGCAUCACUACCAGAUGGACCUGCGUUGUAUUAGCUAGUUGGUGGGGUAACGGCUCACCAAGGCGACGAUACAUAGCCGACCUGAGAGGGUGAUCGGCCACACUGGGACUGAGACACGGCCCAGACUCCUACGGGAGGCAGCAGUAGGGAAUCUUCGGCAAUGGACGGAAGUCUGACCGAGCAACGCCGCGUGAGUGAAGAAGGUUUUCGGAUCGUAAAGCUCUGUUGUAAGAGAAGAACGAGUGUGAGAGUGGAAAGUUCACACUGUGACGGUAUCUUACCAGAAAGGGACGGCUAACUACGUGCCAGCAGCCGCGGUAAUACGUAGGUGGCAAGCGUUAUCCGGAUUUAUUGGGCGUAAAGAGGGUGCAGGCGGUUUUCUAAGUCUGAUGUGAAAGCCUUCGGCUUAACCGGAGAAGUGCAUCGGAAACUGGAUAACUUGAGUGCAGAAGAGGGUAGUGGAACUCCAUGUGUAGCGGUGGAAUGCGUAGAUAUAUGGAAGAACACCAGUGGCGAAGGCGGCUACCUGGUCUGCAACUGACGCUGAGACUCGAAAGCAUGGGUAGCGAACAGG